CCCAAUGUGGUGUAGUGGUUUAAGCAUUAGACUAGGACUCUGAAAACCAGGGUUCGAAUCCUGGCUCAGCCA
Non-coding RNA from Phrynosoma platyrhinos (Desert horned lizard), 72 nucleotides. The record is from the annotation of a GenBank genome assembly. NCBI's taxonomy places the organism in Eukaryota, Metazoa, Chordata, Lepidosauria, Squamata, Phrynosomatidae.